UGGGGAAUAUUGCACAAUGGGCGCAAGCCUGAUGCAGCCAUGCCGCGUGUAUGAAGAAGGCAUUCGGGUUGUAAAGUACUUUCAGCGGGGAGGAAGGGAGUAAAGUUAAUACCUUUGCUCAUUGACGUUACCCGCAGAAGAAGCACCGGCUAACUCCGUGCCAGCAGCCGCGGUAAUACGGAGGGUGCAAGCGUUAAUCGGAAUUACUGGGCGUAAAGCGCACGCAGGCGGUUUGUUAAGUCAGAUGUGAAAUCCCCGGGCUCAACCUGGGAACUGCAUCUGAUACUGGCAAGCUUGAGUCUCGUAGAGGGGGGUAGAAUUCCAGGUGUAGCGGUGAAAUGCGUAGAGAUCUGGAGGAAUACCGGUGGCGAAGGCGGCCCCCUGGACAAAGACUGACGCUCAGGUGCGAAAGCGUGGGGAGCAAACAGG
RNAcentral lists this ribosomal RNA (429 nucleotides) under Chloroflexota bacterium. RNAcentral's name for it is "Chloroflexi bacterium partial 16S ribosomal RNA". It matches the Rfam family "Bacterial small subunit ribosomal RNA", at positions 355 to 776 of the family's 1533-position model. The record is from RNAcentral. Lineage: Bacteria; Bacillati; Chloroflexota.